UAUGUGAUCGUCUCUCGCAUAUCAACUAAGCGGAGGAAAAGAAACUAACAAGGAUUCCCCUAGUAACGGCGAGUGAAGCGGGAAGAGCUCAAAUUUGAAAUCUUAAAGGGUUUCCCUUUACGAAUUGUAGUUUAAAGAAGUGUUUUCUGUUGAGGUUUUGGUAAAAGUUCUUUGGAAUAGGACAUCAUAGAGGGUGAGAAUCCCGUAUUUGACCUUUACUUUCAACUUUGUGAUACACUUUCAAAGAGUCGGAUUGUUUGGGAAUGCAGUCCAAAAUGGGUGGUAAAUUUCAUCUAAAGCUAAAUAUUGGCGAGAGACCGAUAGCGAACAAGUACCGUGAGGGAAAGAUGAAAAGAACUUUGAAAAGAGAGUUAAACAGUACGUGAAAUUGUCAAAAGGGAAGCGUUUGACACCAGUGUUGUUUUUCUGAAAAUCAAUUAAAGAACUGUUUAUGCUAAGUUGUUUAGACUUUAUCAGCUAACUGUUUAGUUUUGAGCUUUUCUUUAAUGCACUUUUCAGUUAACAAGUCAACAUCAAUUUCUUUUGCUGUAAAAAAGCUUGAGGAAGGUGGCUUGAGAUUCGUCUUAAGUGUUUAUAGCCUCUUGCCUAUGCAGUCGGAGAGAUUGAGGUCUGCAGCGUAGAUCCUUCGGGGCUAAAUGCAUUUGUGCUAAGUUAUAAGCAUUUUAUAGACAACUUGUUGACUAUGAUUUGUCUUGUAGCUUACUCGCUUAUGUUAUUUUACCUACGCUUAGGAUGUUGACACACGCGCGUGCUCG
Molecule: ribosomal RNA, 776 nt
Filed under: uncultured Neocallimastigales
Lineage: Eukaryota; Fungi; Neocallimastigomycota; Neocallimastigomycetes; Neocallimastigales
Description: partial large subunit ribosomal RNA
Rfam family: Eukaryotic large subunit ribosomal RNA
Source: RNAcentral